GGCGCUAUAGUGUAGUGGUUAUCACUUGGGAUUCUGAUUCUCAUCUUCCCAAAACCCAGGUUCGAGCCCUGGUAGCGCCU
Molecule: transfer RNA, 80 nt
Filed under: Lentinus tigrinus ALCF2SS1-7
Lineage: Eukaryota; Fungi; Basidiomycota; Agaricomycetes; Polyporales; Polyporaceae
Also listed under: 1 other name
Description: tRNA-Gln
Rfam family: tRNA
About the family: Transfer RNA (tRNA) molecules are approximately 80 nucleotides in length. Their secondary structure includes four short double-helical elements and three loops (D, anti-codon, and T loops).
Source: RNAcentral